UCCGCUGCGAGGCGGAAUCCGAAGGAAGUCGGAGGCAAACCCACGGCCCGAUGAACAAGAACCUCAUACGAGGCUGCACCGUUCGGAUGAGCUGGCGCAACACAGCGAAAUCCAAGGCUGCCAAGGGGCGGGGGAGUAUAUGAGGCGGGGCGUUCUUACCCGGGGAGGCCUGCCGGA
RNAcentral lists this non-coding RNA (177 nucleotides) under Kyrpidia spormannii. Lineage: Bacteria; Bacillati; Bacillota; Bacilli; Caryophanales; Alicyclobacillaceae. The record is from RNAcentral.